AUUUAUUCUGUACCUUUGUCUUUGCCAGUAUAAGUACAUGGAAUCUGCUCCAUUUUUAAGAAUCUAGCCAGGAUUUAUCCACAGGGAAGAAUGCCAUCCUCCAUACAACAGAAUUUGGAAGUAAAGCCUAGUCACCCUCUUGGACUUCAGAGCUGAGCAACGUCCUGAUUUAUAGAGAUUUAUGAUUGAUACUUGGCACACGGGCCCUUUGUGUAUUGCUCUGCAGAAAACAGCCUAAAAGUGAACUUUCCAAGAGUUAUGUGGAGUUUUUCUUUGGUGGGAAUUCCAGUCUCUUUCCUCACCUGAGUGCCAGUCUGCAGAGAAGCAAUGUAACAAAGCAAGGUACAAAAUACAUACAAAAAGUUCUGCCAGAAGACAACUGCAUUACAUCUAUGAAAGCUUGUUUAAAAUGAUUGGCUGCUGAAAAAAUUUGGCCAAAAAUUUUAAUCAUAUCUCUGUUUACCAAAGUUAAAUGAAAAUUUCAAAGGAGAGCAAUCAAUAAGCAGAGAUAAAAGCUUCUCAAGACCAGCUUAAAGGAAGUCAUAAAAACACUCACUAAGCUCAAGUGCCUCCUAUCAGCAACCGCUGAUAAAAUAUUAAAAGAUUCGCCUUGUGGAAUGUAUCUGGAGACCCAUCCUGCUGAUGUACCAGACCAUGAUUGACAACUGUGAGACCUUGCUGGAAGCCACAAAAGUGUAGCUUUCACAUUGUGCUUAAG
Molecule: long non-coding RNA, 718 nt
Organism: Dipodomys spectabilis (banner-tailed kangaroo rat)
Lineage: Eukaryota; Metazoa; Chordata; Mammalia; Rodentia; Heteromyidae
Exons: 3
Source: RefSeq, a predicted model, not a curated record